This 917-nucleotide ribosomal RNA is filed under the name uncultured bacterium. Its description in RNAcentral is "bacterial SSU rRNA". It matches the Rfam family "Bacterial small subunit ribosomal RNA", at positions 246 to 1155 of the family's 1533-position model. The record is from RNAcentral.
UAGUUGGUGGGGUAAAGGCCUACCAAGGCGACGAUCCGUAACUGGUCUGAGAGGAUGAUCAGUCACACUGGAACUGAGACACGGUCCAGACUCCUACGGGAGGCAGCAGUGGGGAAUAUUGGACAAUGGGGGCAACCCUGAUCCAGCCAUGCCGCGUGUGUGAAGAAGGCCUUCGGGUUGUAAAGCACUUUAAGUUGGGAGGAAGGCUUGUUAGUUAAUAACUGACAAGAUUGACGUUACCAACAGAAUAAGCACCGGCUAACUCCGUGCCAGCAGCCGCGGUAAUACGGAGGGUGCAAGCGUUAAUCGGAAUUACUGGGCGUAAAGCGCACGUAGGCGGUUAUUUAAGCGAGAUGUGAAAUCCCUGGGCUCAACCUGGGAACUGCAUUUCGAACUGGGUAGCUAGAGUACAGAAGAGGACAGUGGAAUUUCAGGUGUAGCGGUGAAAUGCGUAGAGAUCUGAAGGAACAUCAGUGGCGAAGGCGACUGUCUGGUCUGAUACUGACGCUCAGGUGCGAAAGCGUGGGGAGCAAACAGGAUUAGAUACCCUGGUAGUCCACGCCGUAAACGAUGUCGACUAGCUGUUGGGCUCCUUGAGGGCUUAGUGGCGCAGUUAACGCGAUAAGUCGACCGCCUGGGGAGUACGGCCGCAAGGUUAAAACUCAAAUGAAUUGACGGGGGCCCGCACAAGCGGUGGAGCAUGUGGUUUAAUUCGAUGCAACGCGAAGAACCUUACCAGGCCUUGACAUCCUCGGAACUUAGCAGAGAUGCUUUGGUGCCUUCGGGAGCCGAGAGACAGGUGCUGCAUGGCUGUCGUCAGCUCGUGACGUGAGAUGUUGGGUUAAGUCCCGUAACGAGCGCAACCCUUGUCCUUAGUUGCCAUCAGGUAAAGCUGGGAACUCUAAGGAGACCGCCGG